AUGCACGCUGGCGGCGUGCUUCACCCAUGCAAGUCGAACGAUGAAGCCCAGCUUGCUGGGUGGAUUAGUGGCGAACGGGUGAGUAACACGUGAGUAACCUGCCCUUAACUCUGGGAUAAGCCUGGGAAACUGGGUCUAAUACCGGAUAGGAGCGUCCACCGCAUGGUGGGGGUUGGAAAGAUUUAUCGGUUUUGGAUGGACUCGCGGCCUAUCAGCUUGUUGGUGAGGUAAUGGCUCACCAAGGCGACGACGGGUAGCCGGCCUGAGAGGGUGACCGGCCACACUGGGACUGAGACACGGCCCAGACUCCUACGGGAGGCAGCAGUGGGGAAUAUUGCACAAUGGGCGCAAGCCUGAUGCAGCGACGCCGCGUGAGGGAUGACGGCCUUCGGGUUGUAAACCUCUUUCAGUAGGGAAGAAGCGAAAGUGACGGUACCUGCAGAAGAAGCACCGGCUAACUACGUG
RNAcentral lists this ribosomal RNA (465 nucleotides) under uncultured bacterium. Its description in RNAcentral is "partial 16S ribosomal RNA". It matches the Rfam family "Bacterial small subunit ribosomal RNA", at positions 29 to 507 of the family's 1533-position model. The record is from RNAcentral.